UUUUCGGAGAGUUUGAUCCUGGCUCAGAGUGAACGCUGGCGGCGUAGAUUAGGCAUGCAAGUCGAGCGAUACAUUUUUCUUGAGAUGGUGAAGCCGUAAGGCUGAUCUGUUGAAGGAAAAAUGAUAUAGCGGCAGAUUGGUGAGUAACACGUGAGUAAUUUACCUCUAAGUCGGGGAUAGCUUUGCGAAAGCGAGGGUAAUACCCGAUGUGCUUAUAGCUGCAUAAGAAGUUGUAAGUAAAGAAGGCUCGUAAGAGUUUUUGUUUAGAGAUGAGCUCGCGUCCUAUCAGCUAGUUGGCAGGGUAAUGGCCUACCAAGGCUUUUGACGGGUAGCUGGCCUGAGAGGGUGGUCAGCCACAUGGGGACUGAGACACUGCCCCAACUCCUACGGGAGGCUGCAGUCGAGGAUAUUUAGCAAUGGGCGAAAGCCUGACUAUGUGACGCCGCGUGAGGGAUGAAGGUCUUCGGAUUGUAAACCUCUUUCGAUAGGGAAGAAAACCUGCUCUUAACGGAGUAGACUGACGGUACCUAGAGAAGAAGCCACGGCCAACUCUGUGCCAGCAGCCGCGGUAAUACAGAGGGUGCAAGCGUUAAUCGGAGUUACUGGGCGUAAAGCGUGCGUAGGCGGAUAUUCAAGUCGAGUGUGAAAGCCCCGGGCUCAACCUGGGAACUGCAUUCGAUAC
This 682-nucleotide ribosomal RNA is filed under the name Candidatus Omnitrophota bacterium. Its description in RNAcentral is "bacterial SSU rRNA". It matches the Rfam family "Bacterial small subunit ribosomal RNA", at positions 1 to 633 of the family's 1533-position model. Lineage: Bacteria; Pseudomonadati; Candidatus Omnitrophota. The record is from RNAcentral.